This 476-nucleotide ribosomal RNA is filed under the name uncultured organism. Its description in RNAcentral is "partial 16S ribosomal RNA". It matches the Rfam family "Bacterial small subunit ribosomal RNA", at positions 331 to 798 of the family's 1533-position model. The record is from RNAcentral.
GUACACUCCUACGGGAGGCAGCAGUGGGGAAUAUUGCACAAUGGGCGCAAGCCUGAUGCAGCCAUGCCGCGUGUGUGAAGAAGGCCUUCGGGUUGUAAAGCACUUUCAGCGGGGAGGAAGGCGAUACGGUUAAUAACCGUGUUGAUUGACGUUACCCGCAGAAGAAGCACCGGCUAACUCCGUGCCAGCAGCCGCGGUAAUACGGAGGGUGCAAGCGUUAAUCGGAAUUACUGGGCGUAAAGCGCACGCAGGCGGUCUGUCAAGUCGGAUGUGAAAUCCCCGGGCUCAACCUGGGAACUGCAUUCGAAACUGGCAGGCUUGAGUCUUGUAGAGGGGGGUAGAAUUCCAGGUGUAGCGGUGAAAUGCGUAGAGAUCUGGAGGAAUACCGGUGGCGAAGGCGGCCCCCUGGACAAAGACUGACGCUCAGGUGCGAAAGCGUGGGGAGCAAACAGGAUUAGAUACCCCGGUAGUCCCAU